Small nuclear RNA from Jaculus jaculus (lesser Egyptian jerboa), 107 nucleotides. Lineage: Eukaryota; Metazoa; Chordata; Mammalia; Rodentia; Dipodidae. The record is from Ensembl.
GUACUCACUUUGGCAGCACUUAUAGUAAGAGUACAACAAUGCAGAAAAGAUUAGCAUGCCCCCUACACAAGGAUUUCAUGCAAAUUCGUGAAGUGUCCCAUAUUUAA